CUCGUAGGCGGUUCGUCGCGCCCGGUGUGAAAGUCCAUCGCUUAACGGUGGAUCCGCGCCGGGUACGGGCGGGCUUGAGUGCGGUAGGGGAGACUGGAAUUCCCGGUGUAACGGUGGAAUGUGUAGAUAUCGGGAAGAACACCAAUGGCGAAGGCAGGUCUCUGGGCCGUUACUGACGCUGAGGAGCGAAAGCGUGGGGAGCGAACA
Molecule: ribosomal RNA, 207 nt
Filed under: uncultured bacterium
Lineage: Bacteria
Description: partial 16S ribosomal RNA
Rfam family: Bacterial small subunit ribosomal RNA
Source: RNAcentral